AAUCAACGCUGGCGGCGUGCCUCAGACAUGCAAGUCGAACGAUUAAAGCUCUCUUCGGAGAGUGCAUAAAGUGGCGCACGGGUGAGUAACACGUAAGUAAUCUACCUUCGAGUGGGGAAUAACGUCCGGAAACGGACGCUAAUACCGCAUAAUGCAGCGGCAUCGCAAGAUGACAGUUGUUAAAGAUUUAUCGCUUGAAGAGGAGCUUGCGGCAGAUUAGCUAGUUGGUAAGGUAAUGGCUUACCAAGGCUACGAUCUGUAACCGGUCUAAGAGGACGGUCGGUCACACUGACACUGAAUAACGGGUCAGACUCCUACGGGAGGCAGCGGUCGGGAAUUUUGGGCAAUGGGCGAAAGCCUGACCCAGCAACGCCGCGUGAAGGAUGAAGUAUUUC
RNAcentral lists this ribosomal RNA (395 nucleotides) under uncultured bacterium. RNAcentral describes it as "bacterial SSU rRNA". It matches the Rfam family "Bacterial small subunit ribosomal RNA", at positions 32 to 419 of the family's 1533-position model. The record is from RNAcentral.